Molecule: long non-coding RNA, 5570 nt
Organism: Callithrix jacchus (white-tufted-ear marmoset)
Lineage: Eukaryota; Metazoa; Chordata; Mammalia; Primates; Cebidae
Source: RefSeq, a predicted model, not a curated record
GAAGGGCGUGGGGAGGCUGCUGGGUAGCGUGGGGGCGUGUGGGGAGGGAGCGGUUCCGGGUAGCGGGGGAUGGGCACGUGCGUUCUGCUCGUGGGGGAGGAUGGAAAUCGGGAACAGGUGCUAUAAUCGUUAAAGGAAAAAAAAUCUUUGCUUAGGGAGCGAGCCCUCCCGCCAUCCCCAUCCUUACUGUAGAGCUCUUUGCAUCCGGUUAUGAGACGCGAAACUAGUUGGGGACAGUCACUGGAUUUAGAAGCAUUCCCUGAGUGGCAGUGUGGCUUAAUGGCACGGUGGCUCAUGCCAGGAAUCCCAGGACUUGGGGAAGCCAAGGCGGGCAGAUCACCUGAGGUCGCUCCAAAGAGAGCCUGAUGCAUGUCUCUGCCCAGCAGAACUCAAGUGCACCCCGAGAGGAACCACGGGCAGAAAGCAAAGGUAGGGCCAGCCUGCAAACUGCCUGGGCAGAGCCACUAACUCAGCGUUUGGACGAAAGUUCUGACCAAUCACCAACUGACGUCUCAGCUCAGCUGACCCAGGGGUGACUCCUUCAAAAGAAAAACAAGAGCCGCCGAGCACAGUGUAAUCGCAGCACUUGGGGAGGCUGAGGCAGAUGGAUCACGAGGUCAAGAGCUCAAGACCACCCUGGCCAACAUGUCAGACUUAAAGACUGCAAAGCCGCUAUUAAAAAUCGAUGCUGGGCUUGGUGGCACACUUCUGUGGACCCAGAUACUGUGGAGGCUGCAGGAGGAGGAUUAUCUGAGCUCUGAAUUGAGGCUGUAGUGAGCUGACUGCAUUGCUGCACUCCAGCCUGGGCAACAGAGCAAUACCCUGUCUUGAUUUAUAAAACAGGGUGAGGUAGGAGGAUUGCUUGAAUUCAGGAGUUCGAGACCAGCCUGGGUAACAUGCUGACACCCCGCCUCUAAGAAAAACACAAAAAUUAAUGGCCAGGCUAUUCUCUGCACUUUGGGAGGCCAAGGCGGGUGGAUCACCUGAGGUCGGAGUUUCAGAGCAGCCUGGCCAACAUGAUGAAAGCCAGUCUCUACUAAAAAUACAAAAAAUUAGCUGGGCAUGGUGGCCUUUAACACCAGCUCCUCAGGAGGCUGAGGCAGGAUAACGGCUUGAACUUGGGAGGCAGAGGUUGCAGUGAGCCGAGAUCACGCCUCUACAUUCUAGCCUGGGCGACACAGACUUCGUGUCAAAAAAGAAACAAAAAAGAAAACCUCAAAUUAUUUUCUGGAUUUAGAAGCCCUUCCUGACCACCGGGCUUCCUGCGCUUUAUGCCCUGAGCUUCCUGCAGAAUGGGCCUGACCGAGAGCUCUAUGUGACGUCUGCCCGUUUCUGUGAGGGUCUCCACAACCCAGCCCUGGCCACAGGCAGGGAAGGGACAGAGCCACCUGCUCCCCGCACCGUAGGACCCAGGUGAAUGCAUGCUGGAGAGCUGUGGCAGCAAAGGCCACCUGCAUAGCCAGGCAAGUCCUCUCUCCCUGCCACGUCUUCAGGAUCCUCCUCUGUGAAAUGGGCCCCAUGGGUUCUGGUGCUGGGAGGACGGGGACCUGGACAUGAGGUGGCCCCGCCACUACUGCUGGCAGAAACCCGGGGAGCCAGGCAUGAGUCCACCUGUAGGCUGUGCGUUUUGUUGUUGGUUUAAUUUAUUACUGAUUGACAUCCAGUGACACUGACAUACCCUCGCCGGGCCCCGGCGAGUCUGACCUGUCCAGUAAAAUACAGUACGAGGAGUGGACGGUGACGCACAUGCAUCCACGCUGAACUACAGUGACUCCAAACUGCCGGGAAAGGAAAAGAAAAACAGGUAUCGUGUGUUCCCCAAUUCCGAAUUCUCUCUCUCUCUCUGUUAGACAGUUAAUGCUGUUACAAACGCUACUGAUGCCAGGACAGGGCCAGUCACAAACAGUCCUACAGCUUCUCUGCCGUAUAAAUAUGGAAGAUUCUUUUGUUUAUACAGUUUUAUCCCAAGUCUGAAACUACGUCUGUUGCUACCCGUUACUGCUAAGGCCUAUGCCAUCUCGGCUCUGGAACGAGGGGCUCGGGGUCGAGACUGGAAUGUCGGGGUUCAGUCUUCCUCACUGCCACUUCCUGAGCGGUCCUGGAGAGGAGACAGGAGAGAGUGAGUGUUAGCUGCCCCUGCCAGAGGCCUGCCAAGCAUUAAAUAAACUUGCUCAAGAAAAAAAAAACUGACGCUGGCCACAGAAGCUGCCGCAACCACGGCCACACCCCAACUUCAUGUUUCUCUAGAGCAGCAGUCCCUGUGCCCACACUCACUCUCUUGGGACCCGUGAGGCUCCAUGUGCCUUCCCUGCUCUGUCCCAUGUCACUUGCCUGGCCUUGGGCCCCUGACCUACAGCUUCCAAAACAUUUUGGCUCUUCCUGACUGCGAAAGAUCUUUGCGCUUUCAUGUAAUUUUUUUUUUUUUUUUGAGACAGAGUGUAGUGGUGCGAUCUUGGCUCAUUACAACCUCCGCCUACUGGGUUCGAGCAAUUGUCCUGCCUCAGCCUCCUGAGUAGCUGGGAUUACAGGCGUGUGCCACCACACCUGGCUAAUUUUUAUAUUUUUAGUAGAGACAGGUUUCACGAUGUAGUUCAAGCUGGUUCUGAAUUCCUGACCUUGUGAUUCACCCGCCUUGGCCUCCCAAAGUGUUGGGAUUACAAGCACGAGCCACCGUGCCCAGUCCUUUUAUUUUUAUUAAAAAAAAAAAAAAAAAAAAUUUUUUUUAAGACAGGGUCUUGCUCUGUUGCCCAGGCUGAAGUGCAGUGGUGCGAUUAUGGCUCUCUACAGCCUCUACCUCCCAGGCUCAAGUAAUCCUCCUGCCUCAGCUUCCCAAAGUGCUGGGAUUAACAGGUGUGAGCCACCAGGCCUGGCCUCAUAAAGCCUUUUUUUUUUUUUGGAGACGGAGUUUUGCUGUUGUUACCUAGAAUGGAGUGCAAUGGCACAAUCUCGGCUUGCCGCAACCUCUGCCUCCUGGGUUCAAGCAAUUCUCCUGCCUCAGCCUCCCGAGUAGCUGGGACUACAGGUGUGCACCAUCAUGCUCAGCUAAUUUUUGUAUUUUUAGUAGAGACGGGGUUUCACCUUGUUGACCAGGAUGGUCUCGAUCUCUUGACCUCGUGAUCCACCCGCCUCAGCCUCCCAAAGUGCUGGGAUUAUAGGCGUGAGCCACCAUGCCCGGCCUCAUAAAGCCUUUUUAAGCCUGGCAUGGGCCAUAAAACACGCUGUUCUGGGUUGGGCAAGAGAGAUGCCACUACAGCCCAGACCCUCCUGUCUGACACACGGGCCUCCCUUCCCCAUGAGGACUUCAUGAAUGUCCUCAAAGGUCACGUGCCUGUUUUGUCAGACUAAUUCCCAGGCACAGACAUUUCCUACUUCUGUAAUGACCAAAUGGCAUUCAUCAGGCUUUGGUGGGAGCCAGGCCUCGAGCGGGGGCAGCCCCCAUAAUCCACGCAGCCUCCUUGUUUGCUAAGAGGAAGCUGAAGCUUUCAGAAGCAGAGUGGCCUGCCAGGUCCCAUAGCCAGGAAGGGCCAGAGACAAAGACGACGUAUCUUAUUUAUAGCUAGCAAGGGGGCUAAGCGCAGUGGCUCACACCUGUAAUCCCAGCACUUUAGGAGGCCGAGGCGGGUGGAUCACAAGGUCAGGAGAUCGAGACCAUCCUGGCCAAACGGUGAAACACCAUCUCUACUAAAAUACAAAAAAAUCAUGGGGCGUGGUGGUAUGUGCCUGUAGUCACAGCUACUUGGGGUGACAGCUGAGGCAGAAGAAUCGCUUGAAGCCAGGAGGUACAGGUUGCAGUGAGCUGAAAUGAUGCCACUGCAUACCAGCCUGGCAAUAGAGUGAGACUCUGUCUCAAAAAAAGCCAGUAAAUGUAUCUGUUCAGGCUCCCCCACUGCCCCCCCAGAAACUUUCCACUGUGUGCCACUAAGGAGAUGGGGCACUGCCUGGUGGGUCCUCAAUCCUGGCACCUCCCACCUGACCCCAAUCAACCCCUGGCCUGCCCAGCCUCACCCCAGACGCUGGUGCCCUAGGCCCACCUCCUGUCCAUCCUGAGACCUCAGGUCCCCCAGUCCCCAGACAUGCACAGGUAUUGAUAGCUGGUUUUAGGGUCACACAGGCCUGGGCUUAAGUGGCAGCUCUGCCACGUACUUGCUGUGUGACCACGGGCCAGCCAUGGAACGUGAAGCCUCAGUUUCCCCAUCUGCAGAGUGGGAGUAUUGCCCCGUAGGGCCAUCCCGUCAGGGCCCUGGGCUGCCUCCUGCUGCCCGCCAGCCCUGCCUGCCCCACCUGCCCCGCCUGCCCCGGGGCCCAGCCUCACCUCCUCUUGUUCCUCCUCACUGUCAUCGUCACUUACGACCGGCUUGGCUCGGGACCCUCGGCUCGGCCGCCGCCGGCUGCCCUUCAGCCGGUCCUGUGCCUUCUCCUUCCGGCCAAGCUUGAUCUUCACUUUGACAGAUCGAGCUGGAGGGGACCAGAAGGAAAAGGGAGCUGUGAGCUCUGGGAACACAGCACCUCUACAGCAAGGGGCAUCUGGGAGCUGGGAGGGCUGUGAACAGCUGGGGCCUUGGGGGCUCUCAGACCAGCGUGAACCCUGGCAUCCUGAACCCCCGAGGGACUCACACUCAGAUUCGGAGCCUUCCUCCUCGCCCUCUUCCUCCUCCUCACUCUCCUCGCCUUCACUGUCAUCCUCCUUCUCAAUCUUCUGCCUUACGCUGGUGAAGACUGACUGCAGGACGAUGGAGUCUUCAUAGAUCUGGGUGGAGACACCAGGGGCUUGAGUGGAUGGGCCCGAUGGGAGGGCUGCCUGCCUGGCCCCAGCACCAGCCCUGUUUUGCCCCUGGACAGCUCAUCAGUGGCCAGUACGAGUCUCAGUGGGCUGGGGCUUCAGCCCACCCAAGGUGGAGGGCCCUCUCUAUAAUCGUCCUGCACAGGUACCCCAAAGAGCAACAGGCUUCUUCAGUGCUCCAGGAUGAAUGCUCAGGCACACUGGUUUGGGACUGGCUGCAGGUGCCUUCCUCUUUCUGGAGAAGGUCUGCAAUAACAUUAGAAAUGCAUGCCCCUAGGGCUGGGCGAGGUGGCCCACGCCUGUAAUCCCAGCCCAGGCAGGAGGAUUAGGAGGUCAAGAGAUCAAGAGCCUCCUGGCCAAUGGUAAGCAUCCUUACCAUUUAGUAGAGAUGGUAAAACCCCAUCUCUACUAAAAAUGCAAAAAUAGCUGGGUGUGGUGGCAGGUGUCUAUAGUCCCAGCUACUCUGGAGGCUGAGGCAGGAGAAUCACUUGAACCCAGGAGGUUGAGGUUGCAGUGAGCUGAGAUCACUCCAGCAUGGGUGACAGAGUAAGACUCCGUGUAAAAAAAAAAAAAAAAAAUGCAAGCUCCGUGUGGAAGCCAGCAUCUUCCCCAAAUUCAUCAAAAUCAAAUCUGUUUUUCUGAGGGGUAUUGAUCCCAAACACACUAAGAGAACUUUGCCAAGCUGAGGCUGUGUAUGUGUGUCAAUUCCAUCACGGGCAAGAACACAUCCAUAGCGUUCCUUUGAAGACAGUGUGCCCCAAGGAAUUUAAAUAAAAUUCCAACAGACAGA